AACGUACGCUGGCGGCACGCCUAACACAUGCAAGUCGAACGAAGUAGCAAUACUUAGUGGCAGACGGGUGAGUAACAUGUAGGUAUCUGCCCUUUGGCCUGGAAUAACACGAGGAAACUUGUGCUAAUACCGGAUAAGUCUUUACGGAGAAAGCUUUAUGCACCAUUGGAUGAGCCUGCACUUGAUUAGUUUGUUGGUGGGGUAAUGGCCUACCAAGACUGUGAUCAAUAGCUGAUUUGAGAGGAUGAUCAGCCACAUUGGGACUGAGACACGGCCCAAACUCCUACGGGAGGCAGCAGUGGGGAAUCUUGCACAAUGGAGGAAACUCUGAUGCAGCGAUGCCGCGUGAGUGAAGAAGGCCCUUGGGUUGUAAAGCUCUUUCGUCGGGGAAGAAAAUGACUGUACCCGAAUAAGAAGGUCCGGCUAACUUCGUGCCAGCAGCCGCGGUAAUACGAAGGGACCUAGCGUAGUUCGGAAUUACUGGGCUUAAAGAGUUCGUAGGUGGUUGAAAAAGUUAGUGGUGAAAUCCCAGAGCUUAACUCUGGAACUGCCAUUAAAACUUUUCAGCUAGAGUAUGAUAGAGGAAAGCAGAAUUUCUAGUGUAGAGGUGAAAUUCGUAGAUAUUAGAAAGAAUACCAAUUGCGAAGGCAGCUUUCUGGAUCAUUACUGACACUGAGGAACGAAAGCAUGGGUAGCGAAGAGGAUUAGAUACCCUCGUAGUCCAUGCCGUAAACGAUGUGUGUUAGACGUUGGAAAUUUAUUUUCAGUGUCGCAGCGAAAGCGAUAAACACACCGCCUGGGGAGUACGACCGCAAGGUUAAAACUCAAAUGAAUUGACGGGGACCCGCACAAGUAGUGGAGCAUGUGGUUUAAUUCGAAGAUACGCGCAGAACCUUACCAACACUUGACAUGUUCGUCGCGACUCUAAGAGAUUAGAGUUUUCGGUUCGGCCGGACGAAACACAGGUGCUGCAUGGCUGUCGUCAGCUCGUGUCGUGAGAUGUUGGGUUAAGUCCCGCAACGAGCGCAACCCUCACUUUUAGUUGCCAUCAUUAAGUUGGGCACUCUGAAAGAACUGCCAGUGAUAAGCUGGAGGAAGGUGGGGAUGACGUCAAGUCCUCAUGGCCCUUACGUGUUGGGCUACACACGUGCUACAAUGGUAUCUACAACAGGAAGCAAAACUGCGAAGUUAAGCAAAUCCCUAAAAGAUACCUCAGUUCGGAUUGCACUCUGCAACUCGAGUGCAUGAAGCUGGAAUUACUAGUAAUCGUGGAUCAGCGUGCCACGGUGAAUGCGUUUCCCGGGUCU
This 1307-nucleotide ribosomal RNA is filed under the name uncultured bacterium. Its description in RNAcentral is "bacterial SSU rRNA". It matches the Rfam family "Bacterial small subunit ribosomal RNA", at positions 28 to 1381 of the family's 1533-position model. The record is from RNAcentral.